AACGAACGCUGGCGGCAUGCCUAACACAUGCAAGUCGAACGAGACCUUCGGGUCUAGUGGCGCACGGGUGCGUAACGCGUGGGAACCUGCCCUUAGGUUCGGAAUAACUCCCCGAAAGGGGUGCUAAUACCGGAUAAUGUCUUCGGACCAAAGAUUUAUCGCCUUUGGAUGGGCCCGCGUUGGAUUAGCUAGUUGGUAGGGUAAAAGCCUACCAAGGCGACGAUCCAUAGCUGGUCUGAGAGGAUGAUCAGCCACACUGGGACUGAGACACGGCCCAGACUCCUACGGGAGGCAGCAGUGGGGAAUAUUGGACAAUGGGCGAAAGCCUGAUCCAGCAAUGACGCGUGAGUGAUGAAGGCCUUAGGGUUGUAAAGCUCUUUUACCCGGGAUGAUAAUGACAGUACCGGGAGAAUAAGCUCCGGCUAACUACGUG
RNAcentral lists this ribosomal RNA (433 nucleotides) under uncultured bacterium. RNAcentral describes it as "partial 16S ribosomal RNA". It matches the Rfam family "Bacterial small subunit ribosomal RNA", at positions 29 to 507 of the family's 1533-position model. The record is from RNAcentral.